Molecule: small RNA, 5391 nt
Filed under: Pongo abelii (Sumatran orangutan)
Lineage: Eukaryota; Metazoa; Chordata; Mammalia; Primates; Hominidae
Description: retained intron
Source: RNAcentral
CAGCCUUUGCAUUUCCCAGCUCUCCAGCUCCCAGUCCUACUGAUGGUCACGGGCUGCUCUCCAUCCUUUUGGGAGAGCUGAGCAGCCCCAUUCCUCCCUGGAGGUGGUUCUGUGGUUUUUUUCACACUCAACCUCUGUCCAUCAAGGCAGAAGGUGAAGGGAAUGAAUGGGGAAGUCCUCACGAUAACUCCUUAUUAGGAGUGCUUGGGAACCUACAAACUGAAUAGACUAACUGUAUUCCUCUUAUACUCCAGCAGAGGGUAGUAGCUCUCCACAAUGAGACUACCAGGGAGCCAGAAACCCUGUCCAAGUCCCUUUUCUGAAAGUGCCACAGCACUGCAGCCUGGGCGACAGAGCCAGACUUUAUCUCUCUCUCUAUAUAUAUAUUUUUUGGUAGGGGGACAAGUAAUACAUAAACAUGGUGUAAAAAUGCAAAAUGGGCUGGGCGCGGUGGCCACGGGGAUCACACCUGUAAUCCCAGCAGUUUGGGAGGCCAAGGUAGGCGGAUCACCUGAGGUCAGGAGUUCGAGACUAGCCUGACCAAUAUGGUGAAACCCCCAUCUCUACUAAAAAUACAAAAAGUAGCCGGGCGUGGUAGCAUGCGCCUGUAGUCCCAGCUACCUGGGAGGCUGAGGCAGGAGAAUCACUUGAACCCAGAAGGUGGAGGCUGCAGUGAGCCGAGAUCAUGCCACUGCACUCCAGUCUGGGCGACAGGGUGAGACUUUGUCUCAAAAAAAAAAAUGCAAAAUGUACAAACAGCAUGUAGGGAAAAAUAAGUCUCCCACAUAUGGCUCCCUACCUCCCAGUUGCCCGGCUAGGAGACCAGCAUUAGUGAGAAGCUGCUGUGGCCUUCAUUGCCUAGGUAUCCGGGUACUGGAUGGACCUCUCACAGACAGCAUGGAGGCAGUGGCGUUCAACAAGCACUAUCAGAUCAAUGACAUCUACAGCUGCAGGUGAGGCAAGAGGGCAAGAGUCUGGAGCACCUGGGACAAAUCUGCCAACAAAAGCCCAAUCAAGUGGGCUGACUCAGGCUGGAGCAGGGGUCUGCUCAUUGGGUUCAGCUAGUAAGUCCAUUGCCUUCAUUUCUCUAGAUUCCCAGCCACUGGGCUCUCAACCUUAAGCCCCCGUCACCCCCGUAAUCAGGUUGCCACAUGAGAAGCCCUGGCUUGUGCACAUUUAUUUGUUUUCUAAACUCCUAAGGCCUCUGCAAGAAAGUGGGCUUUCCUCUCCAUCCACAGGCCAGCUGAAUGCCCAACACCAAUCCCCCACCCCACACCAGUGCAUUGCACCUUCAGGGCAUGGCUGUGCUGGACUGGACAAGAAGGAAGUGGGGUUGGAGGCCCCCAUGGCAUUGAUGGCACCUGUUGCUCCCCCGACAUACCUCCCUUAAAUCCAUGACAUCAUCCAUAGGGUACACUUCCUGAUAGAGACAGAAUAGAGAACUCCUCAGCCUGAGAACCAGGAGUUUCCACAGAAGUUCAUGGGUGCUCUGCCUUCUACCCUAUGAGUUGGGCCAGGCGCAGUGGCUCACGCCUGUAAUCCCAGCACUUUGGGAGGCUGAGGCUUGUGGAUUACUCGAGGUCAGGAGUUCAAGACCUGCCUGACCAACAUGGUGAAACCCCGUCUCUACUAAAAAUACAAAAAUUAGCCAGGUUUGGUGGCAGGCACCUGUAAUCCCAGCUACUCCAGAGACUGAGGCAGGAGAAUCGCUUGAACCUGGAAGGUGGAGGUGGCAGUGAGCCAAAAUCGUGCCAUUGCACUCCAGCCUGGGGGACAGAGCAAGACUCCAUUUCAGGAAAAAAAAAAAAAAAAAAAAAAAAAAAGUCUACGUGUCUCUGAUCCCUAGAUCAGGAGAUGAGUGACCCCCCUGUCCCUCUCUGCCACUAUGGGCUAUGGGGACAUUCACAAGGAAAAGAAGAGCCUUAGCACACUUCUGUUUUCCACUUUGGAGAGGGGAUGGACCUUUGAACCCUGUGCCUUUUAAUCAUGAAGCCUUUAAGUGGAACCCUUGGGAGGAGUUAAGAGCUGCAGGUCAAAGGGCAGCCAGCUGAGACUGGGAGGCGCUGGGUGGGUAGCCACAGCCUGGCUCUGGCUGUCCCCUCUAGGUAUUUAUUUCUCAACAGCUGGGGACCAGAUGAUGAUGGGAAGACCGUGGAUGGCCCCCAUCAGCUUGGAAAGGCUGCCUUACAACAUGGGGUGAUUGCUGGUCGCCAGGGCUUUGGGAGCAUCUUUGUGGUAGCCAGUGGCAACGGAGGCCAACACAACGAUAACUGCAACUACGAUGGCUAUGCCAACUCCAUCUACACAGUCACCAUAGGUGGUCACCCAAUGUUUCUGUGCCCCUGUGUGUGUGUCACCGAAUGGUUAGGGCAUCACACGUCUUGUCCCAGCUUCUGUGUGUGUCUAAAUGUGUGAGCACAAUAAUCUCUUUGGGCUCAGAUAGGACUAACCCUGCUUGCAGAGGACCUUGGGACUUCCUUAGAUGUCAGCAUACCCUGGGAACACCUUUAAGCCAUCAUCUGGAGAUCACCGAGCUGCCUCCACCCCACCACAGCUGGUUAGGCCUCUGCUAUGGCCUGUCUUUCUGUGGGCCCCCUUCUGCCUACUGGAAGCCUCCCCUGACUCCCCACAGGCCUAAAUUAAGUGCCCUUUGCCUGAGCUCCCAGUUAGCAUGUGUUUAUUUACUUACCUGACUUCUACCUGACUCUAGGCUCCUUGAGACUAGGACUGCGGCCUUUUCUGUACGGCCCUGAUGCCUGGCACGGGUGUGACCCACAGUAGAUGGGUAAUGAAUCUUGAAAACAGUAAGCAUGUGAAUGAAUAAGUGGGUAUGAAGGUAGAAGGCUGCCAGUUGUACCCCAGAGCCUAUUGAAAGAAUGGUAUUGCGGCAUAGAAUGCCCUCUGCCACUUGAGACUGCCUGUUCAGAAGAGGAUCAGGACUGCUCUGAGGGACGUGGGCCGCUCAGAUCAUGUUUCAAACUUAGGACAGCCCCCGAGGAUGAUAACUCCAAGAUAACUGACAUUAGCAAGCCCCUGCCACAAGACCCCCUCUUCAUCUUAGCUCUCAUUUCCCUCCUCUGUCCCUAGGAGCUGUGGAUGAGGAGGGACGCAUGCCUUUCUAUGCAGAAGAAUGUGCCUCCAUGCUGGCAGUCACCUUCAGUGGUGGGGACAAGAUGCUUCGGAGCAUUGUGACCACUGACUGGGACCUUCAGAAGGGCACUGGCUGCACUGAGGGCCACACAGGGACCUCAGCUGCAGCGCCUCUGGCAGCUGGCAUGAUAGCCUUAAUGCUGCAGGUGCGGCCCUGCCUCACAUGGCGUGACGUCCAGCACAUAAUUGUCUUCACAGCCACCCGGUACGAGGAUCGCCGUGCAGAGUGGGUCACCAACGAGGCAGGCUUCAGCCAUAGCCACCAGCACGGUUUCGGCCUGCUCAACGCCUGGAGGCUCGUGAAUGCAGCCAAGAUCUGGACAUCUGUCCCUUAUUUAGCAUCCUACGUCAGUCCCGUGUUAAAAGAAAACAAGGCGAUUCCACAGUCCCCUCGUUCCCUGGAGGUCCUGUGGAAUGUCAGCAGGAUGGACCUGGAGAUGUCGGGGCUGAAGACCCUGGAGCAUGUGGCUGUGACAGUCUCCAUCACUCACCCACGGCGCGGCAGCUUGGAGCUGAAGCUGUUCUGCCCCAGCGGAAUGAUGUCCCUCAUCGGCGCCCCCCGCAGCAUGGACUCGGAUCCCAACGGCUUCAAUGACUGGACCUUCUCCACCGUGCGAUGCUGGGGGGAGAGAGCCCGAGGGACCUACAGGCUUGUCAUCAGGGAUGUCGGAUAGCAACAAAAAGUCCUUGUCGAAACCACAUUUCAAGUCCUUUUACGUAUAACCAUCCUUCGGCCAGCCCCGGUAGGCAGGGGAUGAGUCAUUCCAGGUCGGCAUCCUCCGGCAAUGGCAGCUGACCCUAUAUGGCUCUGUGUGGAGUCCAGUAGACAUCAGGGACAGACAAAGGCUGUUAGAGAGUGCCAUGAGUGGAAGAUACCUGCAUGAUGACUUCGCCCUGCCCUGCCCACCGGGGCUGAAAAUUCCCGAGGAAGAUGGUUACACCAUCACCCCCAAUACCCUCAAGACCCUGGUGCUGGUAGGCUGUUUCACCGUCUUCUGGACCGUUUACUACAUGCUGGAAGUAUAUUUGAGCCAGAGGAAUGUGGCUUCCAAUCAAGUUUGUAGGAGUGGACCCUGCCACUGGCCCCAUCGGAGCCGGAAAGCCAAGGAGGAAGGGACAGAGCUAGAAUCAGUGCCACUUUGCAGCAGCAAGGAUCCAGACGAAGUGGAAACAGAGAGCAGGGGCCCUCCCACCACCUCUGACCUCCUUGCCCCAGACCUGCUGGAGCAAGGGGACUGGAGCCUGUCCCAGAACAAGAGCGCCCUGGACUGCCCUCAUCAGCACCUAGACCUACUGCAUGGGAAGGAGGAGCAGAUCUGCUGACCUCAGGGCCUGACAGUGUGGGACAGGCUCUUCCUUCCCAAAAUUAGGGAGCUCUUGAGAGAAAGCGGUUCUGAUGCUUACAUCUGGAAUCUGAGGCAUCCUCUGACUCCACUCAAAGAGGGUGAGGGCCUUCUUAAGAUACAAGUGGUGGAGGAUUGGUGCCAGAGAAGUCUGGUCAGAGCCACAGGGUCUGCCUCCAGCCAAACAGGAACUUUCGGUGAGAAGGUGUUGGACAGGGGAUUGGCGCCCCCUUUGGGUUGGCCUCCAUCCUCAUCUCUUGGGCCAACUGGCUGCCUAGGUCCCCCAAGCAUGGGGGACCCCUUCCCACACAUGAGUUGAGAAGGUGCCUGCCGUAGCCAGGAGUGCAUCUCAAUGGAAACGUCACUGGGGUCACUUGGGAAGAGGACUUCGGGGUAGAGGCUGGAAGGAGCCCCUGGACAUGCCUGUCCUGAAAGCGGCUGCCUCCAUUAUCCAUUGCCAAGAUGCCUGAUCAGAAGCCAACCAUGAAUGAACCCCUGGCUCCUUCACCACCCCCACGAUUGGUAUGAUGCUGCAGGCACAGCUGGGAUACACAUGGCUCCCCCAGGCCUGAGCUGCUUCACUAGGGAAUCCUGCGGCAGGACUGCAGAGCAGAUGGCAGACACGCAUGUUGGAGGAGAGAGCCUUGGGAGCCACUGCCGCUCCAGUCCUGCCACCACCCUGUCUUCCUCUGCAAGUGCUCAGGGAAAUGGCCUUCCCGCCGGAGGCCAGCUAUCUGCCUGACAGGCUGUGACUCUUCUCUCAGCCUUGGCCUUCUCCCCUCUUCUGAGCUAGUUGGUCGAAUUUUUUUUAAUGCUUAAGAUUUGUUUUUCUCUUUCACAGCAACAUUUUCUUGAAUUUUUUUCUGCACAGCUUUUCCAAAAUAAAAACCUUCCAAAC